RNAcentral lists this ribosomal RNA (508 nucleotides) under uncultured bacterium. RNAcentral's name for it is "partial 16S ribosomal RNA". It matches the Rfam family "Bacterial small subunit ribosomal RNA", at positions 27 to 507 of the family's 1533-position model. The record is from RNAcentral.
GGACGAACGCUGGCGGCGUGCCUAAUACAUGCAAGUCGAACGCAUUUUCUUUCACCGUAGCUUGCUACACCGAAAGAAAAUGAGUGGCGAACGGGUGAGUAACACGUGGGUAACCUGCCCAUCAGCGGGGGAUAACACUUGGAAACAGGUGCUAAUACCGCAUAAUUCCAUUUACCGCAUGGUAAAUGGAUGAAAGGCGCUUUUGCGUCACUGAUGGAUGGACCCGCGGUGCAUUAGCUAGUUGGUGGGGUAACGGCCUACCAAGGCUGCGAUGCAUAGCCGACCUGAGAGGGUGAUCGGCCACACUGGGACUGAGACACGGCCCAGACUCCUACGGGAGGCAGCAGUAGGGAAUCUUCGGCAAUGGACGCAAGUCUGACCGAGCAACGCCGCGUGAGUGAAGAAGGUUUUCGGAUCGUAAAACUCUGUUGUUAGAGAAGAACAAGGAUGAGAGUGGAAAGUUCAUCCCUUGACGGUAUCUAACCAGAAAGCCACGGCUAACUACGUG